GACGAACGCUGGCGGCGUGCUUAACACAUGCAAGUCGAACGAAGAGCGAUGGAAGCUUGCUUCUAUCAAUCUUAGUGGCGAACGGGUGAGUAACGCGUAAUCAACCUGCCCUUCAGAGGGGGACAACAGUUGGAAACGACUGCUAAUACCGCAUACGAUCUAACCUCGGCAUCGAGGAUGGAUGAAAGGUGGCCUCUAUGUAUAAGCUAUCACUGAAGGAGGGGAUUGCGUCUGAUUAGCUAGUUGGAGGGGUAACGGCCCACCAAGGCGAUGAUCAGUAGCCGGUCUGAGAGGAUGAACGGCCACAUUGGGACUGAGACACGGCCCAGACUCCUACGGGAGGCAGCAGUGGGGAAUCUUCCGCAAUGGACGAAAGUCUGACGGAGCAACGCCGCGUGAGUGAUGACGGCCUUCGGGUUGUAAAGCUCUGUUAAUCGGGACGAAAGGCCUUCUUGCGAACAGUUAGAAGGAUUGACGGUACCGGAAUAGAAAGCCACGG
RNAcentral lists this ribosomal RNA (499 nucleotides) under Veillonella parvula. Its description in RNAcentral is "bacterial SSU rRNA". It matches the Rfam family "Bacterial small subunit ribosomal RNA", at positions 28 to 496 of the family's 1533-position model. The record is from RNAcentral. Lineage: Bacteria; Bacillati; Bacillota; Negativicutes; Veillonellales; Veillonellaceae.